RNAcentral lists this small nucleolar RNA (102 nucleotides) under Lachancea fermentati. RNAcentral's name for it is "Small nucleolar RNA snR64". It matches the Rfam family "Small nucleolar RNA snR64". From Rfam's summary of the family: snR64 is a member of the C/D class of snoRNA which contain the C (UGAUGA) and D (CUGA) box motifs. Most of the members of the box C/D family function in directing site-specific 2'-O-methylation of substrate RNAs. Lineage: Eukaryota; Fungi; Ascomycota; Saccharomycetes; Saccharomycetales; Saccharomycetaceae. The record is from Rfam by way of RNAcentral.
CUUAUAUGAUGAGUAACCAGAUAGGGACAACAGACUCGUAUGAAUGACGAGGAAAGUCUAAUAAUGCCCAGUUUUUAGUAGAGCUUGGGCGCUUUUCUGAUA